This is a ribosomal RNA of Spermophilus dauricus (Daurian ground squirrel), 138 nucleotides long. Lineage: Eukaryota; Metazoa; Chordata; Mammalia; Rodentia; Sciuridae. The record is from Ensembl.
GUCUACAGCCCUACCACCCUGAACAUGCGCCAUCUUGUCUGAUAUCAGAAGCUAAGCAGGGUCAGGCCUGGUUAGUACUUACAUGGGAGAACUGCACAAUUAAUCUGAUUUCCUUUUUGCCUUGGUUGCCUGUAAGCA